GUUGAUCUCUAGAGAACUGGAGUCCCUCUCUCCGUCGUUUUCUUCUCUCUCGCUCCUCUUACCGCUGACGCUCGAGACGGUGCUGUUUGGCGACGAAACCAUCAAUUCUUCGUCACAGACAUCUGCCGCUGUUAUCGCCAGUGCUUGAAGAUUUGCGCUGCUUCAUAAAAUUAGGCAACGGACAUCCAAAAAGAUUCAAAGGGAAAGGAGAAGCCGCAGUUGGAAGCGGCGACGGCGACGGCGGAGGAUUAGAAUUUUGAUUCUGCAGACAUUUCAAGCUCAAACUCAACCCUAAUCCAUCAUCUUUCUCAACCAUCUCGCACUUCCUGUCGCCUCUCUCUCUCUCUCUCUCUCUCUUCGGAUUAACAAGUGAGAUGAGAUACACAUACAUGUACAUGUAUGUAUGUAGAGAUGUUUAUAGAGAUACAAGGCAAGAAGACAGGCACAUGGGCAAUGAUGAGGUUUGUCAGAGUUUGCUAUUGGCUCAAUCAUGAUCGUCAUAUGGAGGAGUUCAGCCGACCGUUGACGCCGGAGCUGUGAUGUGAUUUUUCUCGUGUCAAGUGAAACGGGGCGUUCCACUUCCACCUCAACGCGCCUGCGGAAGCUCGUGAAUCGACAAUGGCCCCACUUCCACCUUGCGAGCGUGUGGUGCACGUGUAUUGGGCCUUAAAUUUCUAAGUAGGUGGCCACGUGGGGGGACAAAGGUGGGACGCUCGUGCGCUAGAGGCUGUCGCUUUCCGUCCGGACACCAACUUGGGUACAAUGAUGGGGUACGCUCUAAUCUUUUCCAUCAUUCCCCAUCAUACUCUUUUUUUUUUUUUUUUCAAAAAGAAUAAUAUUAUUAUUAAA
Sesamum indicum (sesame) is the source of this 849-nucleotide non-coding RNA. Lineage: Eukaryota; Viridiplantae; Streptophyta; Magnoliopsida; Lamiales; Pedaliaceae. The record is from RefSeq and is a predicted model, not a curated record.